Molecule: ribosomal RNA, 540 nt
Filed under: Nocardiopsis sp. EGI80224
Lineage: Bacteria; Bacillati; Actinomycetota; Actinomycetes; Streptosporangiales; Nocardiopsidaceae
Description: bacterial SSU rRNA
Rfam family: Bacterial small subunit ribosomal RNA
Source: RNAcentral
GUGAGCAACCUGCCCCUGACUCCGGGAUAAGCGGUGGAAACGCCGUCUAAUACCGGAUAUGACACACCAUCUCAUGGUGGUGUGUGGAAAGUUUUGUCGGUCAGGGAUGGGCUCGCGGCCUAUCAGCUUGUUGGUGGGGUAAAGGCCUACCAAGGCGAUUACGGGUAGCCGGCCUGAGAGGGCGACCGGCCACACUGGGACUGAGACACGGCCCAGACUCCUGCGGGAGGCAGCAGUGGGGAAUAUUGCACAAUGGGCGAAAGCCUGAUGCAGCGACGCCGCGUGGGGGAUGACGGCCUUCGGGUUGUAAACCUCUUUUACCACCAACGCAGGCCCCGGGUUCUCUCGGGGUUGACGGUAGGUGGGGAAUAAGGACCGGCUAACUACGUGCCAGCAGCCGCGGUAAUACGUAGGGUCCGAGCGUUGUCCGGAAUUAUUGGGCGUAAAGAGCUCGUAGGCGGCGUGUCGCGUCUGCUGUGAAAGACCGGGGCUUAACCCCGGUUCUGCAGUGGAUACGGGCAUGCUAGAGGUAGGUAGGGG